Molecule: unclassified non-coding RNA, 391 nt
Filed under: soil metagenome
Description: partial contains 5.8S ribosomal RNA, internal transcribed spacer 2, and large subunit ribosomal RNA
Rfam family: 5.8S ribosomal RNA (bases 1-122)
Source: RNAcentral
GAUGAAGAACGUAGCGAAAUGCGAUACUUGGUGUGAAUUGCAGAAUCCCGUGAACCAUCGAGUCUUUGAACGCAAGUUGCGCCCGAAGCCAUUAGGCCGAGGGCACGCCUGCCUGGGCGUCACACGUCGUUGCCCCCCCAUCUACUCCUUCGGGAUUGCGGGGGGCGGAUGAUGGCCUCCCGUGCGCCUCGCCGCGCGGUUGGCAUAAAUGCCAAGUCCUCGGCGACGCACGCCACGACAAUCGGUGGUUGCGAAACCUCGGUUGCCCGUCGUGUGCGGUCGUCGCGCAUCUAGGGCUCGAAAAAAUUGCCGGGUUCCGGCUCGGCUUUCAACGCGACCCCAGGUCAGGCGGGGUUACCCGCUGAAUUUAAGCAUAUCAAUAAGCGGAGGA